RNAcentral lists this ribosomal RNA (853 nucleotides) under uncultured bacterium. RNAcentral's name for it is "bacterial SSU rRNA". It matches the Rfam family "Bacterial small subunit ribosomal RNA", at positions 60 to 913 of the family's 1533-position model. The record is from RNAcentral.
AGUCGGACGGGAUUGAGGAGCUUGCUUCUCAUGAGAGUGGCGCACGGGUGCGUAACACGUAUGUAACCUACCUUGUUCAGGGGGAUAGCCUCUCGAAAGAGAGAUUAACACCGCAUAAAAUCAAUUUAUGGCAUCAUAGAAUGAUCAAAUAUUUAUAGGAACAAGAUGGGCAUGCGGAACAUUAGCUAGUUGGUAAGGUAACGGCUUACCAAGGCUACGAUGUUUAGGGAAUCUGAGAGGAUGACCCCCCACACUGGUACUGAGACACGGACCAGACUCCUACGGGAGGCAGCAGUAAGGAAUAUUGGUCAAUGGACGCAAGUCUGAACCAGCCAUGCCGCGUGCAGGAAGACGGCCCUACGGGUUGUAAACUGCUUUUGUACCGGAAUAAACCUUUUCACGUGUGAGAAGCUGAAUGUACGGUAAGAAUAAGGAUCGGCUAACUCCGUGCCAGCAGCCGCGGUAAUACGGAGGAUCCAAGCGUUAUCCGGAUUUAUUGGGUUUAAAGGGUGCGUAGGUGGCCUAUUAAGUCAGGGGUGAAAGACGGUAGCUUAACUAUCGCAGUGCCUUUGAUACUGAUGGGCUUGAAUACACUUGAGGUAGGCGGAAUGUGACAAGUAGCGGUGAAAUGCAUAGAUAUGUCACAGAACACCAAUUGCGAAGGCAGCUUACUAAAGUGUUAUUGACACUGAGGCACGAAAGCGUGGGGAUCAAACAGGAUUAGAUACCCUGGUAGUCCACGCCCUAAACGAUGAAUACUCGAUGUUGGCGAUAUACGGUCAGCGUCUAAGCGAAAGCGUUAAGUAUUCCACCUGGGGAGUACGCCCGCAAGGGUGAAACUCAAAGGAAUUGA